GAUGAACGCUGGCGGCGUGCCUAAUACAUGCAAGUCGAGCGAACAGAUAAGGAGCUUGCUCCUUUGACGUUAGCGGCGGACGGGUGAGUAACACGUGGGUAACCUACCUAUAAGACUGGAAUAACUCCGGGAAACCGGGGCUAAUGCCGGAUAACAUUUAGAACCGCAUGGUUCUAAAGUGAAAGAUGGUUUUGCUAUCACUUAUAGAUGGACCCGCGCCGUAUUAGCUAGUUGGUAAGGUAACGGCUUACCAAGGCAACGAUACGUAGCCGACCUGAGAGGGUGAUCGGCCACACUGGAACUGAGACACGGUCCAGACUCCUACGGGAGGCAGCAGUAGGGAAUCUUCCGCAAUGGGCGAAAGCCUGACGGAGCAAUGCCGCGUGAGUGAUGAAGGUCUUCGGAUCGUAAAACUCUGUUAUUAGGGAAGAACAAAUGUGUAAGUAACUGUGCACGUCUUGACGGUACCUAAUCAGAAAGCCACGGCUAACUACGUG
RNAcentral lists this ribosomal RNA (497 nucleotides) under uncultured bacterium. Its description in RNAcentral is "partial 16S ribosomal RNA". It matches the Rfam family "Bacterial small subunit ribosomal RNA", at positions 28 to 507 of the family's 1533-position model. The record is from RNAcentral.